Molecule: ribosomal RNA, 253 nt
Filed under: uncultured bacterium
Lineage: Bacteria
Description: partial 16S ribosomal RNA
Rfam family: Bacterial small subunit ribosomal RNA
Source: RNAcentral
UACGAAGGGGGCUAGCGUUGUUCGGAUUUACUGGGCGUAAAGCGCACGUAGGCGGAUCGUUAAGUGAGGGGUGAAAUCCCAGGGCUCAACCCUGGAACUGCCUUUCAUACUGGCGAUCUCGAGUCCGGAAGAGGUGAGUGGAACUCCUAGUGUAGAGGUGAAAUUCGUAGAUAUUCGGAAGAACACCAGUGGCGAAGGCGACUUAUUGGACGAUUGUUGACGCUGAGGUGCGAAAGCGUGGGGAGCAAACAGG